CCCUUAGAUGUUCUGGGCCGCACGCGCGCUACACUGAUGCAUUCAACGAGUCUAAAACCUGGUCUGAUAGGGCUGGGUAAUCUUUUGAAACAUCGUCGUGCUGGGGAUAGAUCAUUGCAAUUUUUGAUCUUGAACGAGGAAUUCCUAGUAAGCGCGAGUCAUCAGCUCGCGUUGAUUACGUCCCUGCCCUUUGUACACACCGCCCGUCGCUACUACCGAUUGAAUGGUUUAGUGAGGACUCCUGAUUGGCGCCGCCGCCCCGGCAACGGAGCAGCGGACUGCCGAAAAGUUGUUCAAACUUGAUCAUUUAGAGGAAGUAAAAGUCGUAACA
This 331-nucleotide ribosomal RNA is filed under the name uncultured eukaryote. Its description in RNAcentral is "partial 18S ribosomal RNA". It matches the Rfam family "Eukaryotic small subunit ribosomal RNA", at positions 1470 to 1796 of the family's 1831-position model. The record is from RNAcentral.